This 456-nucleotide unclassified non-coding RNA is filed under the name Hevea brasiliensis (rubber tree). The record is from RNAcentral. Lineage: Eukaryota; Viridiplantae; Streptophyta; Magnoliopsida; Malpighiales; Euphorbiaceae.
CAGUUAUUUAACCAACAUCCUAUGGAUCUUGUUUUCAUAUAUGAUUUGUAUUGAUUUCUUAUGCUUCUGAUAGCAUAUUUGAAUUCGUUUGUUCUCUAACUCACUUAGAUGGUGGGGCAUUUUGUCAUUGCAUGUUCUAUUUGUUAUUUUAUUUAGGCUGAAUGGAAUCAAAUGUGCAAUUUUUUAAAAUGCUAUUACAAAUCAACAAAUUAUGAUAUUCUCCAAGAGAUGAGACCUGUAAAAUUUGAAAAUCAACUAGAUGCACAAUAACGUUAUGACAUUUCAAUACAAGCUCAUUUCUUAUGAUCUUAAGUGGACAUCAUUUCAUGCUUUGGAAUGGACUAUUUUUGAUACCCUGAUUGAGAAAAUAAUAUGCUUUUAGACCUUCAUGGUUGCUUGAUUGAGCAGAAUUUAGUCAUUUAAAUUUGAGUGUAUUGAUUAAGACAACAUUCUGAG